AGUAAUGUAUGGGGAUCUGCCCGAUAGAGGGGAAUAACUACUGGAAACGGUGGCUAAUACCGCAUAAUGUCUACGGCCCAAAGCAGGGGCUCUUCGGACCUUGCACUAUCGGAUGAACCCAUAUGGGAUUAGCUAGUAGGUGGGGUAAAGGCUCACCUAGGCGACGAUCUCUAGCUGGUCUGAGAGGAUGAUCAGCCACACUGGGACUGAGACACGGCCCAG
Molecule: ribosomal RNA, 222 nt
Filed under: uncultured bacterium
Lineage: Bacteria
Description: partial 16S ribosomal RNA
Rfam family: Bacterial small subunit ribosomal RNA
Source: RNAcentral